GGGAUGAGCUCAAAUUUGUAAUCUGGUGGACUCAGUUCAUCCGAGUUGUAAUCUAUAGAAAAGUUUUCCGCGUCGGACCGUGUCUAAGUCCCUUGGAACAGGGUGUCAGAGAGGGUGAGAAUCCCGUGCUUGAUACGACCACCGAUGCUAUGUGAUACUUUUUCAACGAGUCGAGUUGUUUGGGAAUGCAGCUCAAAAUGGGUGGUAAAUUCCAUCUAAAGCUAAAUAUUGGCGAGAGACCGAUAGCGAACAAGUACCGUGAGGGAAAGAUGAAAAGCACUUUGGAAAGAGAGUUAAACAGUACGUGAAAUUGUUAAAAGGGAAACGAUUGAAGUCAGUCGUGCUCUCUGAGAUUCAGCCAGUUAUUCUGGUGUAUUUCUCAGUGAGCGGGUCAACAUCAGUUUAGAUCGCUGGAUAAGGUCAUUAGGAAUGUGGCUCCCUCGGGAGUGUUAUAGCCUAGUGUCGCAUACAGUGGUUUAGACUGAGGAACGCAGCUCGCCUUUAUGGCCGGGGUUCGCCCACGUCCGAGCUUAGGAUGUUGACAUAAUGGCUUCAAACGACCCGUCUUGAACCACGGA
RNAcentral lists this ribosomal RNA (578 nucleotides) under Holtermanniella nyarrowii. RNAcentral's name for it is "partial large subunit ribosomal RNA". It matches the Rfam family "Eukaryotic large subunit ribosomal RNA", at positions 100 to 665 of the family's 3401-position model. The record is from RNAcentral. Lineage: Eukaryota; Fungi; Basidiomycota; Tremellomycetes; Holtermanniales.